UACAGAGGGGGCUAGCGUUGUUCGGAAUUACUGGGCGUAAAGGGCGCGUAGGCGGUUUGUCAAGUCAGGCGUGAAAGCCCCGGGCUCAACCUGGGAACUGCGCUUGAGACUGGCAGGCUCGAGUUCGGGAGAGGAUGGUGGAAUUCCCAGUGUAGAGGUGAAAUUCGUAGAUAUUGGGAAGAACACCGAUGGCGAAGGCAGCCAUCUGGACCGACACUGACGCUGAGGCGCGAAAGCGUGGGGAGCAAACAGG
RNAcentral lists this ribosomal RNA (253 nucleotides) under uncultured bacterium. RNAcentral describes it as "partial 16S ribosomal RNA". It matches the Rfam family "Bacterial small subunit ribosomal RNA", at positions 524 to 776 of the family's 1533-position model. The record is from RNAcentral.